UACGAAGGGGGCGAGCGUUGUUCGGAUUUACUGGGCGUAAAGCGCGCGCGGGCGGUUAAGCAAGUCAGGGGUGAAAGCCCGGGGCUCAACCUCGGAACGGCCUUUGAGACUGCUUGACUUGAGACCGGAAGAGGAGAGUGGAAUUCCCGGUGUAGAGGUGAAAUUCGUAGAUAUUGGGAAGAACACCAGUGGCGGAGGCGGCUCUCUGGUCCGGUACUGACGCUGAGGCGCGAAAGCGUGGGGAGCAAACAGG
This 253-nucleotide ribosomal RNA is filed under the name uncultured prokaryote. Its description in RNAcentral is "partial 16S ribosomal RNA". It matches the Rfam family "Bacterial small subunit ribosomal RNA", at positions 524 to 776 of the family's 1533-position model. The record is from RNAcentral.